UUUCCGUAGGUGAACCUGCGGAAGGAUCAUUAAUGUAACCGGACCGUUCCUUUGCCGUAAAACGCACUGGAUUGGAAAGGGAGAUAUCAUACACCCUAUGUUUUAUUUACUUUUGUUGCUUUGGUGGGCCGUCCUUUACGGCGUCGGCCUCGGCUGAUCGCGCCCGCCAGAGGACCCAAACUCUUUUAUUAGUGAUGUCUGAGUACUAUAUAAUAGUUAAAACUUUCAACAACGGAUCUCUUGGUUCUG
Molecule: unclassified non-coding RNA, 249 nt
Filed under: plant metagenome
Description: partial contains small subunit ribosomal RNA, internal transcribed spacer 1, and 5.8S ribosomal RNA
Source: RNAcentral